GAUGAACGCUGACAGAAUGCUUAACACAUGCAAGUCUUUGGCGAAGCUGUGCUUGCACCGCCUAGCCAAGGCGGACGGGUGAGUAACGCGUAAGGAACUUGCCCUGCAGUCAGGGAUAACAGACGGAAACGACUGAUAAGACCUGGUAAAGUCAGGCGGACUCCUGUCCAGCCUGAUGAAAAGAGAUGCUGCAGGAGAGCCUUGCGUCCUAUUAGCUUGUUGGUGGGGUAACGGCCCACCAAGGCGAUGAUAGGUAGCCGGCCUGAGAGGGUGGACGGCCACAAGGGGACUGAGAUACGGCCCUUACUCCUACGGGAGGCAGCAGUGGGGAAUAUUGGACAAUGGGGGCAACCCUGAUCCAGCAAUUCUGUGUGCACGAUGAAGGUUUUCGGAUUGUAAAGUGCUUUCAGCAGGGAAGAAAAAAAUGACGGUACCUGCAGAAGAAGCGACGGCUAAAUACGUG
Molecule: ribosomal RNA, 463 nt
Filed under: uncultured bacterium
Lineage: Bacteria
Description: partial 16S ribosomal RNA
Rfam family: Bacterial small subunit ribosomal RNA
Source: RNAcentral